RNAcentral lists this ribosomal RNA (763 nucleotides) under Debaryomyces hansenii. Its description in RNAcentral is "eukaryotic LSU rRNA". The stretch from base 181 to 763 matches the Rfam family "Eukaryotic large subunit ribosomal RNA", at positions 1 to 589 of the family's 3401-position model. Lineage: Eukaryota; Fungi; Ascomycota; Pichiomycetes; Serinales; Debaryomycetaceae. The record is from RNAcentral.
GGUUUGGUAUUGAGUGAUACUCUUAGUUGAACUAGGCGUUUGCUUGAAAUGUAUUGGCAUGAGUGGUACUGGAUAGUGCUAUAUGACUUUCAAUGUAUUAGGUUUAUCCAACUCGUUGAAUAGUUUAAUGGUAUAUUUCUCGGUAUUCUAGGCUCGGCCUUACAAUAUAACAAACAAGUUUGACCUCAAAUCAGGUAGGAUUACCCGCUGAACUUAAGCAUAUCAAUAAGCGGAGGAAAAGAAACCAACAGGGAUUGCCUUAGUAACGGCGAGUGAAGCGGCAAAAGCUCAAAUUUGAAAUCUGGCACCUUCGGUGUCCGAGUUGUAAUUUGAAGAAGGUAACUUUGGAGUUGGCUCUUGUCUAUGUUCCUUGGAACAGGACGUCACAGAGGGUGAGAAUCCCGUGCGAUGAGAUGCCCAAUUCUAUGUAAAGUGCUUUCGAAGAGUCGAGUUGUUUGGGAAUGCAGCUCUAAGUGGGUGGUAAAUUCCAUCUAAAGCUAAAUAUUGGCGAGAGACCGAUAGCGAACAAGUACAGUGAUGGAAAGAUGAAAAGAACUUUGAAAAGAGAGUGAAAAAGUACGUGAAAUUGUUGAAAGGGAAGGGCUUGAGAUCAGACUUGGUAUUUUGCGAUCCUUUCCUUCUUGGUUGGGUUCCUCGCAGCUUACUGGGCCAGCAUCGGUUUGGAUGGUAGGAUAAUGACUAAGGAAUGUGGCUCUACUUCGGUGGAGUGUUAUAGCCUUGGUUGAUACCUGCUCUGUCUAGA